UUUAAAUGUAGAGGAGAAUCUUAAAGGAGUAAUAGUUAUGAUCUUGAAAAUUAAAGAUUUUGGCGGUAUUCUAGUCUCGUCAGAGGAACCUGUCCUGUAAUUGAUAACCCACGAUAAAUUGAACUUGUUUUAAUAAGCUUGUAUAUCGUCGUAUGGAAUAUUUUUUAAGAAGGAGAAUAUUCAUAAUAUUCAAUUAAAUAGAAGUUCAGAUCAAGAUAUAGCUAAUAGAUAAGGAGAGAUGGGUUACAUUAAAUUUAUUUGUUGGAUAUUAAGAUGAAUAUUUUAAUUAAAAAUGGAUUUGAAAGUAAUUUGAAAUUUUUUUUUUGAAUGAUUAUAGCUCUGG
This 343-nucleotide ribosomal RNA is filed under the name Murmidius sp. n. MAD. RNAcentral's name for it is "partial 12S ribosomal RNA". Lineage: Eukaryota; Metazoa; Arthropoda; Insecta; Coleoptera; Cerylonidae. The record is from RNAcentral.